AAAUUUAAUUCAGUAAGUUAAGUUAGACCGUAAAGGAAUCAGAUGCUUAGGGAAUCAAUGGCUGAACUGGAAGAACGAGAGUCAGAGUAGGCAAUUUACUCUCUCAGGUGUUGUCGUUUUCAGAAAGUCUCUGGAAUCAUAGGAACCCACUGGCUGUGUUCGCAGCUGACUACAGAACUAAGCUCGUGGUGAUUCCCAGGAAAACACCUAGAGGCAGGUGCAAAACAUUGCAUUUGCUGAAGCCCAUAAAUCUGGGGCUUUGUCUGUCUCCAAUGGAGAAACAAUAAUAUGGUUUCUGCCUCUCUUUUGCCUCUCAAAUCUCAUGCUAGUGCUUCUGGCUGGUGCAUUCUAACCUGGAACCCUGCUGAUGGGAAUUGUGAGGAAUGUGGCUUCCAAGCUUCUGGCUCCUACGACACGGAGGCGAGCUUGGGGCAGUGCCAGGAGAAGAGAAUCGAAGAGGCAUUGCACGUGCUGGAUGUGAAAGAAAGGAACUCAGAGAAGAAGAGAUGCUGAACGAUUGGCCUGAACUGACUGGUCUCUUGGCGAGGCUGAAAGCAAGAUGCCCUCUGGCUGCUCUCUCUCCCUCAGAUGCUGCCGAGCGUCUGCUGUGGCCUUUGGCAAAAGUAAGGAUUGUGCCUUGAAAACACCAUUUUGCCUGAGAUAAUUGUCUAAGGGUUGGGGACUGUUUACCUCCUAAAUUUCCAGGAUGGAGCCUUUGCACAUGUGUUGUAUUACUUUGUUAGAUUUUUAUAAAAAGUGAGGCAUGUGAGUGAGUGGUGUUGAGUGAAUUCAGCUGCCAGUAUCCUGAAGCUAUCACAAUGAGUUUAGUUUCCUUAAUUUAUAUUCUCCGAGAACAUCAUCCGUUUUGUACAGGAUUUCAAACACGCAUGCGGAAAGUGGCUUCUAACCUUGUCUUUGAGUCAUUUCCUGCUAAUAAUUUCUCUUUCUGUGCUCCUCUUAUUGUUUCUUUUCUUUCUUUCCCCUUGACUCGUUUACCUAAUGGCCUAUCUAUCAAUAGUUUGUUCAAAGAAUUACUUCUUGGAAUCAUUUUCAUUAAUUUAUAUUUUAACUUUGUUAUCAGAACUUCCUCUCUGGUAUUGCGUUCGUUUACUUAUUUUUUGCCAGCAUCUUGAAUUGGAUGCUUAUUAAUUUUUAUUCUUUCCUUUUUUUUAAAUGUAAGCAUUUAAGGCUAUGAAUCUUCCUCUCAACACAACUUUACCUUUAUCACAUAGUUUCUAACACAAGUUAGUUUUGUUGUUAUUAUUUUCUAGAUGGCUGAUAGUUUAUUUUUUAUUUCCAUUUUGACUCAACAGUUGUUUUUUUUUUUUUUAAAUCGUGUGGUAUGUUUUUCUUUUCUGGUUUUGUUAUUAAUUUCUAGCUUUUUUAUUUUGUGAUCAAAACUAAGUUGCCUUUGCUAUUUUUACUUUUCAAAAUUUAUUGAGUUCUUUUUGCCCAUUAAGUGGACAAAUUUUGUUAAUGUUCUGUGGAUAUGUAAAAAAGUAAGAAUAGUCUCUCCUUUCAUGAUAUAAGCGUUGAAUGCACAGUGAUUACAUGCUACUUUAUUAAUUACAUUCUUUAGGAUGCCUAUAUUUUUUCUUAUUAUUUGUAUACUUGCUAUAUCAAGAGUGAGAGAGGUAAAUUAAUAUUCCUUAUUACUAAUGUAUUUGGCUAGUUCUCCUUGUAUAUCCUAUGCUUUUAAUUUUGUUAAUAUUAGUGCUAUGUUAUUUGACCAUAACUGAAAUUCUGCCUUGUAGAUUGUAUACAUUGUCUUACAGGGCAUGCUUCCUUGUAUAGUUUAUGUUUUUUUAUGUGUGUGGUUCAAAAAAAGAUGAUUAUGGCAUCUGUUUUCUUUUUCACUUGCCUUAUAUAUAUUUGUCCAUCUUUUUAUUUUUACUUUUCCCAUUUGUUUUAGGGGUCUCCAUGGCCAAACUAAUAGGUAGAUUUAGCUAACUAAUAUAAAAGACAUGUUAGGUGUUUUGUAUUUUAUCAUAUUACUGUAAUUUUUUGGUUUUUAUAUUUUUGUUUUUGAAACUUGCAAUAUGGUUUGAAUUUAUUUUGCUGCUUUCUUGUUUUGUGUAAUUUAUAAUCAAUUUGCAAUUAUUGUGAUUUUUUUCCUGAUGGUUACAUUUCUAACUGUAAAUUUAUGUAAUGCCCUUAAUUCUCUAUUUCUUAAUGGAGAGUCUAUUGCCUAGUUACUGUCACUAAUGAUAAAAUAAUUAUAUUUCUAUGUUUUCCCGUCUUAGAUCUUUCCUUUCCAUAUGUGAUCUUCUUUAAUAAUAAUGCUUAGUCUUUACAUUUAUUGCUUUCAUUGUUUUCAGACUUCAAGUGUAAGUACUGGGUUUAUCAGCUUUAAAUGACUCCUCCUUCCCCUACUUCCAGCUCCAAAAGAUAUGAACAUGAGGAGCUUAACUAAGAAAUGCCUUCAUGCUGGAUGUUCUGUGUGCAGUUUUUCCCUGAGAUACCCUGUGUCCUGUGAAUCUAUAGGUUUGUGUUUUUAAAUUUCUGGAUAAUUUUCUUAUACCUAAUAUUUUAAUUUUCCUCUACAACUGUGUUGAAUUUCUUUUUGAUCAGUUUUGUGUAUAUUGGAAUCUCAUUUCUCCUCCACACGUAUGAUUUUCUAGUUGUUUAGCUUGUUCAUUUUCAUCUCAUUUUGCCUCUUUUUCCCAAUUCUGUCUUCUGUGUCCUUUACUGUGUUUUCAGUGGUAUUUUCUCUAAGUCUGCUUCCAACAUGGACCUCAUUUCUGCGAUGGCAUUCCCCCCUUACCCCAACUUCUUUUCUAGGUUCUGCCAUGCCAGCAAUUAUUCUGUUUUCCUACUUCUGUUUUACCUUAUUCUGUUUUCCCACUCUCAGAGCUCAUGUCUGUUUGUUGUGUGUUUUUAUUUUUUGAGGCAAUUUAUUCAUUAUGUUUAAAAAACUCAUGGUGGCAUUGAUGGUCACAAUUUUCAUUUGCUCCUUAGUAUUUUUCUGGUGAGUUACUCAUUUUCCUUGUUCUUUUACUCCUUUUCUUUUCUUUUGGUAUGUUAGUAAAGAUAGUGUACAAAGUCCUUGCAUACUAUUGCUCAUUUUGUUUACAGAGGUGAGUUCUACCUGGACCACAUGUUUUCCAGGAGUUCAUGUGAGAACAGGGCCAAGGUAGUUUCUGAGGCUGGUAGAAGUUCUUGCUAUAACAUAGUGUGUGUGAGUGAGGUAUUUUAUAGUCUUUACUUCCUCUCAGUCAUCUA
This 3222-nucleotide long non-coding RNA is filed under the name Equus caballus (horse). RNAcentral describes it as "lncRNA (ENSECAG00000046842.1)". Lineage: Eukaryota; Metazoa; Chordata; Mammalia; Perissodactyla; Equidae. The record is from RNAcentral.